RNAcentral lists this ribosomal RNA (253 nucleotides) under uncultured bacterium. RNAcentral describes it as "partial 16S ribosomal RNA". It matches the Rfam family "Bacterial small subunit ribosomal RNA", at positions 524 to 776 of the family's 1533-position model. The record is from RNAcentral.
UACAGAGGGUGCGAGCGUUAAUCGGAAUUACUGGGCGUAAAGCGCACGUAGUCGGCUUUGCAAGUCGGUUGUGAAAUCCCCGGGCUCAACCUGGGAACUGCAUCCGAGACUGCAUUGCUAGAGUAUGGGAGAGGGAAGCGGAAUUUCUGGUGUAGCAGUGAAAUGCGUAGAUAUCGUAAGGAAGACCAGUGGCGAAGGCGGGUCUCUGGACAGUUCCUGACGCUGAGGCACGAAGGUCAGGGGAGCAAACGGG